This 311-nucleotide long non-coding RNA is filed under the name Androctonus crassicauda. The record is from RNAcentral. Lineage: Eukaryota; Metazoa; Arthropoda; Arachnida; Scorpiones; Buthidae.
GUGACCCAGAACCGGAAAACAUAGUGGAAACAACACUGCAUAGGCGAAACUUUGCACCGCUCAUGUAUGAUAAAGAUGUUGUUGGUAUUGUGGCCCAGGCACUGAAGGAUGCUGACCAUAUGAAGAUAGUUAAAAAAAGAGGGCGGACCGUAUUUGACCAACUACGGAAUGAUAAAGGCCAAGUACCUAAUGAGAAAAAAGCGGGUGUCUACACCAUUCCCGUAUACAACAACAAUGAAAGGUGCCCCCAACAGUACAUAGGCAGCGUGGGAAGAAAUUUAGGGAUGAGACUGGCGGAGCAUGGGGAAGAC